This 447-nucleotide ribosomal RNA is filed under the name uncultured bacterium. RNAcentral's name for it is "bacterial SSU rRNA". It matches the Rfam family "Bacterial small subunit ribosomal RNA", at positions 330 to 794 of the family's 1533-position model. The record is from RNAcentral.
GCCAGACUCCUACGGGAGGCAGCAGUGGGGAAUAUUGCACAAUGGGGGAAACCCUGAUGCAGCGACGCCGCGUGAGUGAAGAAGUAUUUCGGUAUGUAAAGCUCUAUCAGCAGGGAAGAAAAUGACGGUACCUGAUUAAGAAGCCCCGGCUAACUACGUGCCAGCAGCCGCGGUAAUACGUAGGGGGCAAGCGUUAUCCGGAUUUACUGGGUGUAAAGGGAGCGUAGACGGCAGCGCAAGUCUGAAGUGAAAUGCCGGGGCUUAACCGCGGAACGGCUUUGGAAACUGUGGAACUGGAGUGCUGGAGAGGCAAGCGGAAUUCCCAGUGUAGCGGUGAAAUGCGUAGAUAUUAGGAGGAACACCAGUGGCGAAGGCGGCUUGCUGGACAGUAACUGACGUUGAGGCUCGAAAGCGUGGGGAGCAAACAGGAUUAGAUACCCGAGUAUA